GACGAACGCUGGCGGCGUGCCUAAUACAUGCAAGUUGAGCGAUGAAGAUUGGUGCUUGCACCAAUUUGAAGAGCAGCGAACGGGUGAGUAACGCGUGGGGAAUCUGCCUUUGAGCGGGGGACAACAUUUGGAAACGAAUGCUAAUACCGCAUAACAACUUUAAACAUAAGUUUUAAGUUUGAAAGAUGCAAUUACAUCACUCAAAGAUGAUCCCGCGUUGUAUUAGCUAGUUGGUGAGGUAAAGGCUCACCAAGGCGAUGAUACAUAGCCGACCUGAGAGGGUGAUCGGCCACAUUGGGACUGAGACACGGCCCAAACUCCUACGGGAGGCAGCAGUAGGGAAUCUUCGGCAAUGGACGAAAGUCUGGCCGAGCAACGCCGCGUGAGUGAAGAAGGGUUUCGGAUCGUAAAACUCUGUUGGUAGAGAAGAACGUUGGUGAGAGUGGAAAGCUCAUCAAGUGACGGUAACUACCCAGAAAGGGACGGCUAACUACGUG
This 497-nucleotide ribosomal RNA is filed under the name uncultured bacterium. Its description in RNAcentral is "partial 16S ribosomal RNA". It matches the Rfam family "Bacterial small subunit ribosomal RNA", at positions 28 to 507 of the family's 1533-position model. The record is from RNAcentral.